CGCUAUCACUCCUACGGGAGGCAGCAGUGGGGAAUAUUGCACAAUGGGCGCAAGCCUGAUGCAGCCAUGCCGCGUGAGUGAUGAAGGCCCUAGGGUCGUAAAGCUCUUUCGCCAGGGAUGAUAAUGACAGUACCUGGUAAAGAAACCCCGGCUAACUCCGUGCCAGCAGCCGCGGUAAUACGGAGGGGGUUAGCGUUGUUCGGAAUUACUGGGCGUAAAGCGCGCGUAGGCGGACUGGAAAGUUGGGGGUGAAAUCCCGGGGCUCAACCCCGGAACUGCCUCCAAAACUCCCAGUCUUGAGUUCGAGAGAGGUGAGUGGAAUUCCGAGUGUAGAGGUGAAAUUCGUAGAUAUUCGGAGGAACACCAGUGGCGAAGGCGGCUCACUGGCUCGAUACUGACGCUGAGGUGCGAAAGUGUGGGGAGCAAACAGGAUUAGAUACCCUGGUAG
RNAcentral lists this ribosomal RNA (448 nucleotides) under uncultured bacterium. Its description in RNAcentral is "bacterial SSU rRNA". It matches the Rfam family "Bacterial small subunit ribosomal RNA", at positions 328 to 793 of the family's 1533-position model. The record is from RNAcentral.